CUUUGUUUUCGUUCAGUUCACCUCCAAGACGAGCUCAUAGUCCUCUUAGAAGGUCUCCUAUGGCUAUUGGUCGUAUGCGUACUCCUCUUAUUCGUACAACUGCUUGCUCACGACGGAGAGGCUGAGCACCAGUUGGAAGACGUGGGCGGUCAUCAUCCUACUCUGGAUCACCUAGUCCACGCAAGUUACCUCGGAGAUCAAGGAGUUGUAGCCCAAGAAGGCCCAUUAAAGGAAGAAGCAGUAGCAACAGCAGCCGAAGUAGUUCUCCACU
Quercus lobata is the source of this 271-nucleotide long non-coding RNA. RefSeq lists it as uncharacterized. The record is from RefSeq and is a predicted model, not a curated record. The transcript is spliced from 4 exons. Lineage: Eukaryota; Viridiplantae; Streptophyta; Magnoliopsida; Fagales; Fagaceae.